This is a long non-coding RNA of Hibiscus syriacus, 435 nucleotides long. RefSeq lists it as uncharacterized. The record is from RefSeq and is a predicted model, not a curated record. NCBI's taxonomy places the organism in Eukaryota, Viridiplantae, Streptophyta, Magnoliopsida, Malvales, Malvaceae. The transcript has 5 exons.
UGUCUUCUUAUCUCCACAGAUUCCCGCACAUGUUUGUUUAAUAACAGACUUUUUCCCUGGUGGAGAGUUAUUUGCCCUGCUUGAUAAGCAACCUAUGAAAAUGUUCAAAGAAGAAUCUGCAAGGUUCUAUGCAGCUGAGGUUGUCAUUGUUUUGGAAUAUCUUCAUUGCCUAGGAAUAAUAUAUCGAGACUUGAAGCCAGAAAAUAUUCUACUUCAAAAGGAUGGCCACAUCGUAUUAACCGACUUCGAUUUAUCUUCUGACUUCUUGUAAUUCCAGGGUUUUAAAGCAUCCCAUGCCUAACAAGAGAAGAAGAUCUGGGAGUCAACAACCUCCUACGUUUGUUGCAGAACCAUCUACAGAGUCGAAUUCAUUUGUUGAAACCGAAGAAAACAUUGCUCCGGAAAUUAUUACCUGUGUGGGACACAGUAGCACCA